UCCCCGUUACCGAGGCAGUCUGAUUAGACAUAUACAACUAAUCACGAGGGUUGCGCUCGUUGAAGGACUUAACCUAACAUCUCACGACACGAGCUGACGACAGCCAUGCAGCACCUGUGCACGAUCUCCGAAGAGGGGCUCUCGUUUCUGAGAGCUUGCUCGUGCAUGUCAAGCCUAGGUGAGGUUCUUCGCGUUGCAUCGAAUUGAGCCACACGCUCCGCCGCUUGUGCGGGCCCCCGUCAAUUCCUUUGAGUUUCAGCCUUGCGGCCGUACUCCCCAGGCGGGGUACUUAUUGCGUUAGCGACGGCACCGAAGGGGUCGCUCCCCCCGGCGCCUAGUACCCAUCGUUUACGGCGUGGACUAC
RNAcentral lists this unclassified non-coding RNA (364 nucleotides) under uncultured Gemmatimonadaceae bacterium. RNAcentral's name for it is "contains 16S-23S intergenic spacer region". Lineage: Bacteria; Pseudomonadati; Gemmatimonadota; Gemmatimonadia; Gemmatimonadales; Gemmatimonadaceae. The record is from RNAcentral.